AAAAACAUUUCCUUUAGUAGAUACUUAAAGGUAAUACCUGCUCAAUGUAACUAUAUAAAUAGCUGCGGUAUCCUAACUGCACUAAGGUAGCAUAAUUAAUUGUCUUUUAAAUGGUGACUUGUUUGAAUGGUUUUAUGAGAAAAAGAUUUUCUUUGGUUUAUAGAGAAUUUAUAGUUCAAGGUUAAAAUACCUGAAUUAGAAAGAAAGACGAGAAGACCCUGUUGAGUUUUACAGUUUUAUGAUGACUGUUAAAAUGGGAAAUUUAAUUUUUAUUUAAAAUUUUAUUGAUCCUGAAUUUUUUGGAAAAAGGAUAAAAUUACCACAGGGAUAACAGGACUAUAUUUACUGAGAGUUCUAAUCGAAGUAAAUGAUUGUUACCUCGAUGUUGAAUCGAAAUAACUUCUUGGUGCAGCAGUCAAGUAAGUGGGUCUGUUCGACCUUUAAAAUUUCACG
This 453-nucleotide ribosomal RNA is filed under the name Kaburakia excelsa. RNAcentral's name for it is "partial large subunit ribosomal RNA". It matches the Rfam family "Bacterial large subunit ribosomal RNA", at positions 1809 to 2600 of the family's 2925-position model. The record is from RNAcentral. Lineage: Eukaryota; Metazoa; Platyhelminthes; Polycladida; Callioplanidae.